This 221-nucleotide ribosomal RNA is filed under the name uncultured bacterium. RNAcentral describes it as "partial 16S ribosomal RNA". It matches the Rfam family "Bacterial small subunit ribosomal RNA", at positions 28 to 250 of the family's 1533-position model. The record is from RNAcentral.
GACGAACGCUGGCGGCGUGCUUAACACAUGCAAGUCGAGCGGUAAGGCCCUUUCGGGGGUACACGAGCGGCGAACGGGUGAGUAACACGUGGGUGACCUGCCCUCAGCUCUGGGAUAAGCCUGGGAAACCGGGUCUAAUACCGGAUAUGACUCCAUGACGCAUGUUGUGGGGUGGAAAGCCUUGUGCGGCUGAGGAUGGGCCCGCGGCCUAUCAGCUUGUU